Long non-coding RNA from Haplochromis burtoni (Burton's mouthbrooder), 681 nucleotides. RefSeq lists it as uncharacterized. The record is from RefSeq and is a predicted model, not a curated record. The transcript is spliced from 2 exons. Lineage: Eukaryota; Metazoa; Chordata; Actinopteri; Cichliformes; Cichlidae.
GAGCUGAUGUGGGACUGAGAUCUGCAUCAACAUGAAUGUUACAUGUAUGAAGUUCACAUGUUAAACUACGACAGUCACAGAUAUCAUGUGUGGACAUCAUGUGAUCCUAAAGUGUCUUAGUGGCCAUAAAAGAGCUUUAAUUCAUACUGAGGUCAGAGUUUGCAGUGAGCUGACUGUAUCACACUCAGAGCUGUUCGUAAUGUUCAGUCAUUGUCUUGCGUUUUGUGUUUCGAAAUGACUUAAAUUUCUAAGUCAGCAGGUGAGAUCAUGUUUCUGUGAUCGCUGCUCUGGAUCAUGUGACCUUUUUUCUAGGUUACAUGACAGGUCAGAGGUCAGCGACUGUAACUCAGUUACUUCUGUUAAUGUGAACUCACGGAGUGUUUGUGAUUUCAGACUGACUAAAGUCCACAAGAAGAUGAUGAUGGAGAAAGAGGAGGACAGAGCAGAGUCUGCAGGAUCCAGCUGUGAAAGUGACGACUCCAGAGAUAAUCCUCCAGACUUCAGUACUGAACCUGGACCAACGAGAGGUCAGAGGUCACAGUCUGCAAGGUCCAGCUGUCCGUCUGUGAGGAGUGACUGGUCCAAACGAAACCUCCAACUCAGUGGUGAACCUGGACCAACGAGGUCAGAGAGCUGUGAUGACUCCUGUACAUGUUUGUGUUUUCCUGGAUAAAUAUGACC